Long non-coding RNA from Vitis vinifera (wine grape), 2039 nucleotides. RefSeq lists it as uncharacterized. The record is from RefSeq and is a predicted model, not a curated record. Lineage: Eukaryota; Viridiplantae; Streptophyta; Magnoliopsida; Vitales; Vitaceae. The transcript is spliced from 2 exons.
UCCCUAACUCUCUCUUUCUCUCUCUUUCUCGCCGGAGACUCGGAUCUCCGGCAUCUCCUAUUUUAUUUUUUCCCUAUUUUUUUUAUUGAUUUUCUGUCUAUUUAAUAUCAGAUUUUCUUUUCUCUCCUUCUCUCUAUGGUUUAGCUUUGAUUUUUUGCUUUAGCUUAUUUAGUCCCCGGAAUCUGACAUGGGUAGAUGAUUCAUCAACUGGGUUUUGUUUUUCAGUGGUUAUUUUGGCCGGAAUCCUACAUGGGUGGCUGUCUUGUUUUUGCCGGCAUCCGAUGGGAAAAAUCUGACCCACAUGCCCCAAAUUCUGAAUUUUCAAAAUAGGAGCUUGCUAGAUUUUGAUUCCAUUUUGUUAGCUCCAUGUUUUCUGAAAACAUAUUUUCUGUUUUAGGAAAAAAAAAAAAAAACAAACAGAGAAAUAGGGUUUUGUUUUGUUCUAAGAGACGGAGAAGCUCAAUACAUUAGACUCUUCUUUGGGUGUGAAGUCAUCGCUUUACAUUUUAGCCACUAGUAACUGGCCACGCCAGCACAUGCCAGUGGCCCUGACGCAAAGGUGUCAUGAAUUGUUAUUAUUAUUUCUAAUUAUUUUUUCUAGUUCUAAAGAUUUUUCUUGUGUCUGAGUAUUUUUAUGAAUUUGUUGAGUAUUGGUUGUGCUUACAGUAGUGCAUGGAUUGAUUGACAGUGGUUGUUUGCGCAUGUAGCAUCAUCAAGAUUCACAUGCAAAUGCACGGUGGUGAUGUUAUCUCUGCCAAACUUUUCAAGGAUGAGAAUCUUGAUGAUGCUGCAUCGGCAAUAAACUACUAUACAAAGGGCUCUCUCGUCACUUGUUGAGCAAGGUGAUUCUUUCUUUUUGGUUUUCUGUUAAUGUCUCAGGUGGGUUUAUUGUAUUUCUUUUUCGUGGGGGAUUCUUUAUUUGGAGCAGUCCAUCUAUGGAUUGUGCAGUGCAGACUUUCAAUGUGUUUUUUCCAGAGAUCAUUUUGUAGACAACUACGAAAGAAUUUAAUGCAUCAAUGACCAUUCAAAGGUCACUUAGCUGUGCUGACUUUGUAGAUCUGUGAUUAUUCUUCUGAGCCACAAAAAAAAAAAAAAAAAAAAAAAAUCUGAUGUGAUGGAAAUGGCAUCUCUUUAUUCAGCUUCUUGAUGAGAUGGGAGUUCAGACCAUGUCUAAAAACUGUGCGCAGAGAAAGGGCUUCAUUCUUUAAUCAUAUGAGUGUUUGAUUUAUAAUUUUUCGAGCUUACUGGCCUCUGUAGAUCUUUGAUUUUGAUUAUUCUUUUUGAGAUGAAUGUUAGUGGGGUUUCAUCGCUCAAGUACUGCAGGAAGACAAAGGAGCAACUAUCACCUGGAGGUACCGGGGGAACUGAUAAGAUGGGAGAUGAAACAUAUACCUGAGCAGAAAGCUAAUUAAGAAAAGAGCAAUCUUGUUAUUCCUAUGGGGGAAUUCACCUGUAGAUUUCAUCUAGGCAUUAGGAGCGCUACAAGAAAAUGGAGGAAAUGAAAGGGUGCGGAGUUUCUCAACAGUUGGAGCUGAAACUGUUGUUGCAAGAUUAGUCUUGGCACCACCUUCUCCAAUCCAAGAUUUCACAUCCUUUAGCAUAUUUCUAUAUGGUCUCAAACCAUGGAAUGAAUAUGCAAAAAGACUUGAGUUAUGGACACAGGCAACCAAUUAUUGCAAAAAUUUGGUCAACUAAUACUCCUUUCCUCUUCCAUUCGCAAACAGAAAUCCCACUAUGUAACCUAAUGUUUUCUGUACGUGAUAUUGGCCCAGUUAGUAACAGAAGAUGUUUAACUAAGCCAUUAGGUACUUUGUUAGAAGAAGCAUGCAUAACAUGUAGCUUGAGACAUUAGUUUCUACAUAUAUAUUAAAAGCUUAUGGCUUGGUCACUAAGUGAAUUCUUAAUGGACCAUUUUUGUCUUCAAUAUUGUUUAUUGAAUGAGGAUUCAUUUAUUUGUUUGUUUGUUAAAAGAUUUAUCAGAACCCUGUAUCACUUGUGAGCUCACCUCAAAAUCAAAAUUUGACUUGUGACUUGACAUA